GGGGCGUUAGCUCAGUCGGUUAGAGCAGGGGACUCAUAAUCCCUUGGUCGCUGGUUCGAGUCCAGCACGCCCUACCA
This 77-nucleotide transfer RNA is filed under the name Tepidimonas taiwanensis. Its description in RNAcentral is "tRNA-Ile". It matches the Rfam family "tRNA". From Rfam's summary of the family: Transfer RNA (tRNA) molecules are approximately 80 nucleotides in length. Their secondary structure includes four short double-helical elements and three loops (D, anti-codon, and T loops). Further hydrogen bonds mediate the characteristic L-shaped molecular structure. tRNAs have two regions of fundamental functional importance: the anti-codon, which is responsible for specific mRNA codon recognition, and the 3' end, to which the tRNAs corresponding amino acid is attached (by aminoacyl-tRNA synthetases). tRNAs cope with the degeneracy of the genetic code in two manners: having more than one tRNA (with a specific anti-codon) for a particular amino acid; and 'wobble' base-pairing, i.e. permitting non-standard base-pairing at the 3rd anti-codon position. Lineage: Bacteria; Pseudomonadati; Pseudomonadota; Betaproteobacteria; Burkholderiales. The record is from RNAcentral.